RNAcentral lists this ribosomal RNA (307 nucleotides) under Spiricoelotes chufengensis. RNAcentral describes it as "partial 12S ribosomal RNA". Lineage: Eukaryota; Metazoa; Arthropoda; Arachnida; Araneae; Agelenidae. The record is from RNAcentral.
AAACUAAUUUAGUUUGGCGGCAUUUCAUCUAACUAGAGGAAUUUGUUUAUUAAUCGAUAUUACACGAUAAAUUUCACUUUAAUUUAAAAUUUAUAUACCUCCAUCUUAAGAAUUAAUUUAAAAAUAUUUCUCCUAAAAAUAAAUAAAAAGUUAGGUCAAGGUGCAACUCAUAUUAAAGANUUAAAUGAAUUACAUUAAAUAUAAUUUAAAGACUAAACAUUCAAAUAUCUAUAUAAAUUAGAAUUUAGAUACAAUAAUUUAAUAAUAUUAAAAUAUGAAGCAGAUAAUAAAUGUGUACACAUCGCCC